CUUUUUUUCACUGAAUCAUCUGGUUUUGUUUCAAGUUGGCUUGUAGCAUUGGAUGAUUUAACUGAGGAAGAUUUUGACUUGGGCCUGCCUAGGUUACCCUGGAAUUGAACUGAUGACUGAAGAGGCUCAUGCUGCUCUACUCCAUUCACAGUCUUUGGACUUAACUCCACAGACACUCUCUGAUGCUCACGUUCUUUGCCUGUGGUUUCUGGACAGCCUGGCGCUGAUGCUACAAAUUGUGAGCUUCUGUUCUCCAGAGAAGUGGCUUCCAGUUUCUCAUUGGCAGAGUCACCACUACGGCUGUCCUUAGAGCAUCCAUUCAGAUGGCAGCCAUGUAUUCUCUGAGGCUCUUGAGAUGCCUUAUCGGGCCCAUCAUUCUUAUUUUUAGCAUCCUUGUUGCCUUGGUGCUGUUUAGAUUUGCUUCUUUUUCUCCUAUUAUUCUUCUUUUUCCCUGUCAUAUUCCAUUCUUUUAGAACCUGAGUUGCACUACCAUCUAUGAAAGCCUGGACAGCCUUGUCUACAUUGUUAUCAAACUGCUGCAGCACCAGAACUAUUUCAUUAUUGCUUUUGUUUGGAACAACUGAUCGGAUUGCAUUGAUCUUUUCCUUGAUAUUUACUGGAGAACUGAUUUCUGCCAUCUCUCUUCUUACAAGAAUACUGUCACUGUGAACGUCUCCAGUUUCUGUUCUUGUUUUUCUAUCUUCUCCAGUGGUCUGUAUCUCCUCGCUGCGGCCGGGCCGUGCCGGAGAGCGGGAGCGCGGGAGGCAGGAAGGCUACGGGUGGCGCGGCCGCUCGUCGGGAUACGCCUCGCGCCCCUCCCCGCACGCGCGCGCCGCCCCGGGCCCGCCCCGGUAACGGCCACCGCCCCCGGCAACCGCCGCGCCGCGUUCCCCGGCCCGCGGGCGCGCGAGCGGCGGGAGGACGGGCGGUGCUGCGGCGUUCUCGCCGCCCGCGCUCGCCCCUGAGGCACCGCACGUGCGCUCCCGGCACGGCGGGCAGCGCCGGCCCCGCUGCGAAGAGCUCGAGCGCUUCUCGCCGAGCAGAGCGCAGCGCGCGACGUAAAUCAGUGCCGGCGCGUGGCUCUUCUACCCGCCAGCGCUCCUGGAGAGCGGCGGGACGUGAGAGCUCACCUCAACGUUUCCAGUUAUCGACGGUUUAAAACACUGCCUGAGAGCUCCAAAGAAAACGCGCCGUCUGGGCUGUUAGCACAAAGGUGAAGCAGCAAUACAUUACGAUCCCCUCACGGCCUAACACCGGAACGCGCAGAUACAACUGCACGCUACGGGAACUACGCAACUGAACUACGGGAAAUCACAACAAAUUUCCUGUAAACAACGCAAUCUGGAUUUACUAUCAGCACCGGUGUCCCACACGGCCAUUGGCAGUACCCUUAACCCACGCACACGCCGGAUCUCAUUCGUGCAGGAGUUAAGCUGGGCAGUCUCAGCAUUUCUCCCCAGAGCCCUCAGCUCCCUCUUGCUGCCCAUGGCAAGUGGGCUCCCCGGGCCGUAACACAGCCCUGCUUCCCUCCCUGCCCUCAGCAGAACGGCCCUGUGGUGCUUCCCAACACAGCUGGCAGGCAGCACCAGGCCCUCGCUGCUUUCAGCCAACCACCCCAGACCUCAGGGCUGAAAUGCGGUAGGGUGGGAUCUCCCUCCCGGCUCUGGGUGCCCAACAGACCACCCUCGGCCCCUCUGCCCUACUCAGCUGCAAAGGGUUCUCCCACCUCCUUCAGAAAGCUGGGUGCAAAGCAGAUGCUCAGCGCUAUGGUGCAGCCGACAAGCUCGGAAUUUACAUUCCUUUGGGAGUCACGUCUUCUAAAGUAUUCGGAUCUUUGGUAAAUGUUGGUUUGUUUUAAACAGCAUCAUUUUGAACCUCCAGGCUUGCAUUUGCACUCCGAGAGCGCUCCUGCUCGUACUGCUGACACCUAUCUACUCCCCGAGCUGCAUGAAUUUUGCCUGGGAGUUCUGGAAACGAUUCUGAAGUUCAAGAGAGCAGAGCGUUAUGUUCAUAAAUCAAGGAUGCUGCCGAACUUCCUGCACGGGAGAACAGAUGUGAACUAUGGGCCUGAAACUCAUCUAAAGGAACGCAGUGGAAACACACAGGAUGGAAGGCUCUGAGGGCUUUACAAAUGGCAUUUGGAUGGGGGAGAGCAGGGAGAAAGAGAAUGUGGGAAAAAGAAGAGUGAAAAAGGAUCCUGCUGUUUAGCUCAUGCAUAAACUGUGUGUGCUCAGCCAAAGGUCACUCCUUUUAUUUUCUCAUUAAUUUCAGUGACGGUGAAUGGUAUAUGAAGAAUGACCUAAAAAUGAGAACUGCCAGGCAUAGCUCAGGGUUUUUUUUUGCGACGAUGCGGAGGAAAACCUGUGUGGCAACUUCGUUCUGUAUCUUUAGAUACAGAGAUACACUACUCUAGAUAAAAAGUAGUGACCAAAAGGAAGUUAAUUCUUUGAGAUGAACCACGUGUUUAUUUAGGAAAGUUAAAUAAAACUUCAGUCAUCUACUUCUUACGUAUUUGCCAGUAAAGGCUUUAUACCCUCUGUGCACUGAAAUUGCUUAAUUCCUACUUUUCUUUUUGUAAUCCAUGAAAUAGUGUAUUUGUUUUGAGGGUGAGCACUGGAGUACUUAACUCAAGUGAGGGAAAAAAGAAAAGGAUAAAGAAGGAAGAAGACCUUUGGGAGGCCCACAGGUGUCCAAAAGCUGGCACAAGGAAACUGCCCCUAUGGGCAACCUUGGAGAAACCAUUGGGAGAGAGUGGAACGGGCACCCGGUGGUGCUUCAUAAUGAAUGCAUAUUCAAAAGCCCUGUGCUGGUUCCAGCGGCUCUGCAGCAGACAAAACAGCCCCACCGUGUGCCAAACACGAGGCAGUCGGAGAACGUUCUGCUGCCUCUGCAUAAACGCAUUUGAGGAGGAGGAGACACGCGGGAGAUGCAACAGACGCCGGGACAGGAGGGGCGAGAGCAGGAAAAGCACUGAGGGAAACAAACAUGAACUGACCGUGGUCUCCCACACUGCCCACUGCCUCACCAGAGGGACCAACGAGUCACAUGCUGUGGGGGAACAGGGAGCAGGACGGGCAGAGGAGAGGUGCCUGGAAGUGAUCCUACAAGGGAGCAUGUGUUUGUUUUUUCAGUACUAGAAUCAGUAAUUUAAAGUUUUUAAUUGGGACUAAAUUAAAUCAGUUGAAAUUCCCGUGGCACACAACCAUUCCUGGCUUGCAACAGGGAGAAACUGAUUCAACACAGAAAUUUGCAAACAAACUGGUGCAGUCACAGUGGUCUGGCAAAGGAUCUAAGGGUGAAGAUAGGGAAAACAGCAAAUUACGUUGCUGUGUUGUAAGACAGUUGCUAAUCUGGGGUAUAAAAGUAACAUGGAUCUUUUAAGCCCGGAGAAGGGCUGAUAAUAACAUUUUAUCCUGGCAUUUGUUAACUGCAGUGAAAAACUGCAACGUAAGCGGAAAAAGAAGUUCAAAGAGAGGCAGCAGAAGCGAUGAACAGAGAUAUGUCUUCAGGAGAUAGAUGUUUACAUGCUUGGCUUAGGAGAGCGCUGCCAAGCUGCAAAAAGGCAGAAGGUCCUUUCAAGGACCUGUGUGGAUCAUAAGGAGUGUUACAUGGAGUAACAACAUGGAAAGAGAAAGAAGAUUUAUGACAGCUACAUAAAACUGACAGUCAGUCAGAAAGGACCGCAGACUAUAGAGGAUGCUUUUCUACAUGGUAUCAGCAGGUAGUUUAUAGUCAACAUUCAGAAGGAAAAAAAAGAAAAAAAAAAAAAAAAAAAGGAUAUAUAUAAGUAGAAAAGCUCCUGCAUUUGGGUGUGUGAAAGGAAAAAAAGAAAGAAAAAAUGUUUUUGGCUCCCAAAUUCAUGGGUCAAAUUUAGAAAGGGUAAUUCGCAAGCCGCAGUUAGUGGCUAUUCAUUUACUCCGACAAGGCCUGAAUUUGAUUAAAUGGUUAUGAGCACAUAGGCUGUAUGCUAUGGAAACAAAAAUCUGUUUUGCAGUGAGGUUAUUUAUAUCACAGAUAAUUAAAACUGCUGCUCUGAGAUCUCGCGUUUGUAUGAAAAUGCAACGUCCUCAAACGAGAGUGACAGCCAAAGAACAAUGUCUAAGGAAGUUUUUUCCUUUUUCUUCCAAAGAUUGGGAAACAAGUCUGUUAAAAUCUUCACAGAAACGUGGAGGUGAAAAAAGAACCCAACACAACCAGAAACAAUGCCGCCGUAUCUCGUGGUGUUGGGUGUUUCAGAGUGAGCGUACUUGAGUGGGGUGGUAAACACUUAAGAAUGACUGAAGUUCAAAAACAAACAAAAAGAAGCCUUGAGCUCACUCUGGUAUUAAAUGGGAAAGAAGUGAGGCAAGGCUUGGCAAAAAUCAGCAUAAUAGUAGCCUUAUUGUUGGAUCUGAAAGCUUCAUUUUCCAACAGUGUCCCUUUUCUGAGAAGCUGCAGAACCACUCUGAAAGUGCUUUCUAUAGAGAUGAUAAAUCUGUAGUGGAGAUUUAUGCACAUUCAGAUUAAGUCAGGAAAUCAGUCAUGAAAAGGAUAAUUAAACAGAGAAGGACAAAAACCUAGAAGAAAAAUUACCAGAAGCCCCCAAACAAACACAGCUAACAAUGCACCACGAUGCAUCAGGUCCUGGGAUUCUGACUCUGACUUUGGCACCUAUUGCUUGAGCAAUGCACGGGGCAGGCAACCUCAGCUUGUUCCUGACUGCGGUUCCCAGAGAGAGGCACUCUGCACAGCAGCAAUUCAGAGCUGGAGCAGUGUGUGAACAGACCAUGCUCAGUAUCUUUGGUCAUUCUUUCCUUUUUUGCACUAGAUCUUAAUGCGUCGUAAAGGUGAAAGGCGUAAGAACAGAAGGUGUUCCACAGCUGUAUAUGGAACUGUUUGAGACCACAGUCUCAUACUGUGCUCAUAUGCUAGAUGAGAGCUCUUGGAUGUUACAGUCUCCAUUUUAGAGCAAACAGCUCAGUCUGCCCAGGCACAAAUCACUGAGGUGCUGCGAGAGAGCUGGCUGUUCUGACACAGAGGUGACUUUUCUCCUUUCAGCUUUACAAGAUGUGCAGCAGACUCAGAGCGUUAAUGGUAAAGCAAACACAUUGACUGAAGGAAAUUUAGUAAAAAAAAAAAAAAAAAAAAAAAAAAGCCCUUCUGUUUUGCAUCUCUGCAAUUCCAAAACAUGCAAACUCAGGACCAUGUCACAGCCCACUGAGCAAACCACUCUGGCUUUGAACACAUGGUAUAUAAAUGCUGCAGUUCUGUGAAAACCUCUAAUUUGUGUACCGUGACUUUUGUAUUGAUGAAUUUAUUUAUUAAAUCCUGUCCUACUUCUCUAAAGUGGAUUCAGUCCUGGAGUCUGAUUGGCCUCAUGUGGGAGCUCAGGACAGAAGAAACUAACAUGGACUGAAAAGACAAGGGGAAACAAGGUUUGAUCAGUGGACAACAAUAUACAUAAGCACAAUGAUCACGACAGAAAAUAUCAGCAGUGUGAUCCAGAAAUGACCGAGGUCACUUAAGAUUUAAUUCAGAAUGAUGCCAAGCACACAUUGAGGAGGCUCAAGUGAAGCUCAACACAGUAGAAUACAAAUUCCUCAAAAGCAAAAGGAAAGCAUCCAUGACUCUGAGCACUAUGUAAGAGCAAUGCUACUUAACUGCACACACACACAUGACAAACAGCAGAACUUUGGGGUCAUUCCUCGUGCAAGAGCCCUACUUCAUGUAACAGGGUUCAGACAACAUCUCUGUAGUCGUAUCCCGCAAACCUAGAAGGUAAUGCACGUCCUCU
This 5773-nucleotide long non-coding RNA is filed under the name Gallus gallus (chicken). The record is from RNAcentral. Lineage: Eukaryota; Metazoa; Chordata; Aves; Galliformes; Phasianidae.